This 402-nucleotide ribosomal RNA is filed under the name uncultured bacterium. RNAcentral's name for it is "bacterial SSU rRNA". It matches the Rfam family "Bacterial small subunit ribosomal RNA", at positions 28 to 428 of the family's 1533-position model. The record is from RNAcentral.
GAUGAACGCUAGCGGCAGGCUUAAUACAUGCAAGUCGAGGGGCAGCGGGGGUAGCAAUACCUGCCGGCGACCGGCAAACGGGUGCGGAACACGUACAGAACCUUCCUUUAAGCGGGGAAUAGCCCGGAGAAAUCCGGAUUAAUACCCCAUAGUAAUGUUAAGUGGCAUCACUUGAUAUUUAAAGAUUUAUCACUUAAAGAUGGCUGUGCGGCUGAUUAGGUAGUUGGUUGGGGUAACGCCCACCAAGCCAACGAUCAGUAACUGGUGUGAGAGCACGACCAGUCACACGGGCACUGAGACACGGGCCCGACUCCUACGGGAGGCAGCAGUGGGGAAUCUUGCGCAAUGGGCGAAAGCCUGGCGCAGCGACGCCGCGUGGGGAGGAAGGGCUUCGGCUUGUAA